This 22-nucleotide unclassified non-coding RNA is filed under the name Mus musculus (house mouse). RNAcentral describes it as "oocyte_clustered_small_RNA14325". The record is from RNAcentral. Lineage: Eukaryota; Metazoa; Chordata; Mammalia; Rodentia; Muridae.
UAGGCGGUGGCCAAGAGUGACA